This is a non-coding RNA of Neurospora crassa OR74A, 793 nucleotides long. NCBI's taxonomy places the organism in Eukaryota, Fungi, Ascomycota, Sordariomycetes, Sordariales, Sordariaceae. The record is from RefSeq and is a predicted model, not a curated record.
AGCGUUUCUCAACUCGACUGCCUAGAUGGAGUUCGCUAUCUCCGCCAAUACCAGUUCAAUGAUGGCUAUUCUCUCUUCAUUCCUGUUGACUCACUGGGAAACGGCAUUCAACCUUGUGCGCUGCAUAAACUGCGAAAAUGGCAUCGAACAUCAGUCGGCAGGCUUCACAAAGCUUCCUGGACCAGGAACACGAUGAUGUCCGUCUUGCAGCGCUCGACAGCUCUCUAGUUUGUUGCAUUUCUUCGGUACCACGGUAAUUGCCCAUGUCUUCAGGAGCCUUCGCGGGAAAAUGUGGUAUGGAAUCAGAGACGUAAUCCCGGGUUGCAUCUAGGUCCUUCGUUCACUGCCAGCUGGGUAGCCGGUUUGCAUUGUUACCACCACUGCACCAUCAUAAGAACAUUCAGCAGCCAGUCCCGACUGGUGCCGAUGGUCAUUUUUCGAAGCAACAAAUUGUGGUCAACCAUCACCAGUGCUCGCACACGUGAGAUGAGCAUCUCUAAGGGACGGUCAUCUAGAUUGGGUUGAAAGAUUUCUUCUCACAUCAUACCUCUUGUGUUUGGCAUAUAGUUCGGGCGUACUGGUCUCAUAUCUGUCAUCUGAGGUCAAUGGUCAUAUGUAUCUGCUGUAUAAUCUAGCCGUUUGCGGUUCGGCAUUGGGAGGAAAGACUGAAUGAGGGCCGCACGACUUUGAUUAUCGAGUCUCAGGUAUAGUUUUGGAGCUUAUAUUGAGAGGUAGAAUCAAUGACGGGAUUCUCAAUUGUCUUUUGGGAAACACGUUUUACAGGCAGGUUCUA